AAGAACAUGCUGAGAACUGUAGAG
Molecule: non-coding RNA, 24 nt
Filed under: Cricetulus griseus (Chinese hamster)
Lineage: Eukaryota; Metazoa; Chordata; Mammalia; Rodentia; Cricetidae
Source: RNAcentral